UACGUAGGGGGCAAGCGUUGUCCGGAUUUAUUGGGCGUAAAGAGCGUGUAGGCGGCCUGGAAGGUCAGCUGUGAAAACUCGAGGCUCAACCUCGAGACGUCGGUUGAAACCACCUGGCUAGAGUCCGGAAGAGGAGAGUGGAAUUCCCGGUGUAGCGGUGAAAUGCGCAGAUAUCGGGAAGAACACCCGUGGCGAAGGCGGCUCUCUGGGACGGUACUGACGCUGAGACGCGAAAGCGUGGGGAGCGAACAGG
RNAcentral lists this ribosomal RNA (253 nucleotides) under uncultured bacterium. Its description in RNAcentral is "partial 16S ribosomal RNA". It matches the Rfam family "Bacterial small subunit ribosomal RNA", at positions 524 to 776 of the family's 1533-position model. The record is from RNAcentral.